UCACCAGACUCCUACGGGAGGCAGCAGUGAGGAAUAUUGGUCAAUGGCCGAGAGGCUGAACCAGCCAAGUCGCGUGAGGGAAGACGGCCCUACGGGUUGUAAACCUCUUUUGUCGGGGAGCAAAGCGAACCACGUGUGGUUCAUUGAGAGUACCCGAAGAAAAAGCAUCGGCUAACUCCGUGCCAGCAGCCGCGGUAAUACGGAGGAUGCGAGCGUUAUCCGGAUUUAUUGGGUUUAAAGGGUGCGCAGGCGGAGGUGCAAGUCAGCGGUCAAAUUGCGGGGCUCAACCCCGUACUGCCGUUGAAACUGUGUCCCUUGAGUGCGCGAAGGGUAGGCGGAAUGCGUGGUGUAGCGGUGAAAUGCAUAGAUAUCACGCAGAACUCCGAUCGCGAAGGCAGCCUACCGGCGCGCAACUGACGCUCAUGCACGAAAGCGUGGGUAUCGAACAGGAUUAGAUACCCGAGUACAU
RNAcentral lists this ribosomal RNA (469 nucleotides) under uncultured bacterium. Its description in RNAcentral is "bacterial SSU rRNA". It matches the Rfam family "Bacterial small subunit ribosomal RNA", at positions 328 to 795 of the family's 1533-position model. The record is from RNAcentral.